Long non-coding RNA from Eubalaena glacialis (North Atlantic right whale), 331 nucleotides. RefSeq lists it as uncharacterized. Lineage: Eukaryota; Metazoa; Chordata; Mammalia; Artiodactyla; Balaenidae. The transcript is spliced from 3 exons. The record is from RefSeq and is a predicted model, not a curated record.
UGUCUCUCAUCAGCGGACUCCCCUGCACGGCCCAGGACGAGGGUAAGGAGUUCCUGUGAGAGCUGGCUUCAGGGGAAUUAGCAACUCUGUUUAGGAGCGGGAAGAACCCUGGUAGCCGGAUCUGCCCCCCAGAAAUCUCCGCUUGUGCCCUAUCUCUGCAUGGUCCAGGCCCAGAGACGGAUCCCGGGAGCCUGGAUGCUGAGUCAGCAAGACAGAAUUGGCAAUGUUAUGCUGAAGUAAGAAACCGCUCCAGAUAUCUCAGUGGCUUGACGGUCUCUAAAUUCCAUAAAUCAAAGACUAUGUGGAUUUGUGCUCAAUAAAUGUUUACCCA